Magnolia sinica is the source of this 1946-nucleotide long non-coding RNA. RefSeq lists it as uncharacterized. Lineage: Eukaryota; Viridiplantae; Streptophyta; Magnoliopsida; Magnoliales; Magnoliaceae. The transcript has 4 exons. The record is from RefSeq and is a predicted model, not a curated record.
GGAUUUCCUCGACUCGAGUCCUUAAAUCUUCAAUCUUUACAUAAAUUUGAGGAGUGGAUAUUGGAGGAAGGAGCUAUGCCAAGUCUUUUACAUUUACGUAUCAAUUACUGCAAUCAACUGAAGAAGCUUCCAGAAGGAAUGAAACCUACCCUCAAGAAAUUGGAACUAUUGUGGAUGCCCGAUAAAUUCAAAGAAAGGGUUCGAGAAGGGGGAGAGGAUUGGGAUAAAAUUCAGCAAAUACCCUCCAUCCAGAUAAGCAAUUAGGAGAAGGUACUUGGCACGCGGGAGGCGGUUGGACGUGACGUGCAGAAUGGGCAUGAAUAAAAAACUAUUUCCCUUUUAUGGUUUCUUUGUUGGUUUCUUAAUGUAUGAAUGAUGUGAGAUAUUUGUACGAGCUUUCAAACUGUGGCAUGAUGAUGUGUGUAUUUUUAUUUUAUUUUUCUUUUCUUUUUUCUUGGUUUGGUUUCUAAUCUUCAAGACUUCAAUAUGAUUAGUUGUUUUUGUAAUGCUUGAGAUCUAUUACUUUGUCUAUAUUUGGAUGUAAUAUGCUUUUUAAAGGUGAAAACAGUUCUUUAGAGUGUAGCUCUGGAGGACGUCCACAAUAUUGCUUCAUCGGAAGUUUAAAUGGAUGGAUGAUCAAAGCUGCUUAUUAGGACAUUGAUCGACAGAUUAGGAGCUUCAAUCAAAAAAUUGUUUCAACCAUCUUCUAUCUAUAUUAGAGCCAAUCAAACAUAGUCUGGAUCUCCAAACUACAGCUCCACUUGCAUGGAAUGCUUGCAUAAGGACACUUCAACCAAACAGAUAAGAACUCACUCUUCUUCCUAUUUUAUCCUUAACUAGUUUUAAAGUAAGUAGUUUCUUCAACUGAUUAAUAUAGUUUUUAAGAAAACAAAUUCUAGCACGUAACAUAUUUUAUUUUAUUUUUACUCACAGGAGAGACGUGAUGACCUACACUUGUGAAGUGAUAAGAUCGAUGUGGAGAAUGGUGGCAGGGGAGUCCAUUUUCCUCUAAUGGUGCGUUUUGUCAUAAAUGGCAAUGAGAUGUUUUGAUGACAUAUUUUUCAAAUUGCAUCACAAAGACAUCUCUAGCUUUUGCUACGUAUCUUUCAACAUGCUACAAUGUGCUAUUAUUCGUUAUUACAUGUACUGUAUUUCAAUUUACAUCUUCUCAAGUCAUGUAAGUUAUAUUUUCGUGGAAAGUUAAAAAAGCUACCCAGUGUUGUAAUUAAAUUCCCAUCAAACCUCACCAAGCCUACCUUACAAUGGUCCUAUUUGAAACUCGGCCCAUCACUUUUCAGGUUGUAGUGUAGCAAAUCACUUUUGAUUUCAUUUAUAGGAGAAGCUAUGUUGGCACCUGUGAGGUAACUUGAUAUCUAUAAUAUUUGAUUUGUCUUGCUGUAUCUAUGUUUGGAUGUAAUACCUUUUCAAAGUAGAAGCAAAUUUCCCAAGUCCAGGCUGAGUCCACAAAUGCUUGACCAGAGAGUUUUUAUACAUGUAAAUUAACAAAGCUGAUCAUCAGGUAUGGCCCAGUGUAUAACUACUCCGGCACAAAGUACAUGUUACUCUGAUAAUGCGAUGGACCAUCCAUGCACAUUGAGUGUGGGCUGUCAAUUUCUAUUGUCUAUAUCUAGGCCACCUGAUUUGCGGUCGGCCUGAUUCCUGGACCAAUGUAUUAUAAGUUUUAGGUGGGCUUUACUAGUUUCCCUAACCAAUUGAUGUAUAUUUUUUAACCCUCUAUUUGUAGGAUAUUGAUUGAGGGAUUAGGACCUACCCUUAAUCUGUAUGAAUUUUGGAGCAUCUUCCAUCCAAGAGAGGACCUAUCAGACCUAUAGUUUGGAUCUUCCUACCGCAUCGCUUGCUGUACGUACGGAUUGCAGCACCAGACACAUACACCCUCCUGUUUAUUCUUAAUAUCAUGCAUUUGAAGCAACUGGACAUAAGGACAG